This 253-nucleotide ribosomal RNA is filed under the name uncultured bacterium. Its description in RNAcentral is "partial 16S ribosomal RNA". It matches the Rfam family "Bacterial small subunit ribosomal RNA", at positions 524 to 776 of the family's 1533-position model. The record is from RNAcentral.
UACGGAGGGAGCUAGCGUUGUUCGGAAUUACUGGGCGUAAAGCGCACGUAGGCGGCUUUUUAAGUCAGGGGUGAAAUCCCGGGGCUCAACCCCGGAACUGCCUUUGAAACUGGAGAGCUAGAAUCUUGGAGAGGCGAGUGGAAUUCCGAGUGUAGAGGUGAAAUUCGUAGAUAUUCGGAAGAACACCAGUGGCGAAGGCGGCUCACUGGUCCGGUACUGACGCUGAGGUGCGAAAGCGUGGGGAGCAAACAGG